This 250-nucleotide ribosomal RNA is filed under the name uncultured bacterium. RNAcentral's name for it is "partial 16S ribosomal RNA". It matches the Rfam family "Bacterial small subunit ribosomal RNA", at positions 524 to 773 of the family's 1533-position model. The record is from RNAcentral.
UACGUAGGGUGCGAGCGUUAAUCGGAAUUACUGGGCGUAAAGCGCACGUAGUCGGCUCUGCAAGUCGGGUGUGAAAUCCCCGGGCUCAACCUGGGAACUGCAUUUGAGACUGCAUUGCUAGAGUAUGGGAGAGGGAAGCGGAAUUUCUGGUGUAGCAGUGAAAUGCGUAGAUAUCAGAAGGAACAUCAGUGGCGAAGGCGGCUUCCUGGACCAAUACUGACGAUCAGGUGCGAAAGCGUGGGGAGCAAAC